GGCAAUCUGAAAGCAAAUCCUGUUUAGAUGCAGGCGAAGGUUCCUGGUGACCCAGGCUCUCACCUUACCGUCCCUUACCGUCCUCCUGAGGGUGUCCUGGAGCUUCAGUGCUGUGUGUUCUUGGCCUCCACGCUGGGGGUGCCACCAACUCCCACUGUCCAGGGCUUCCAGUGGACUCUCCGAGGUACUGAUGUAGAAACUUCCCCAUUCGGUGCACCAAGAGCAACCUCACACGGUGUGGGCCGAAUGAAGAGCUGCCAGAUCCCACAGAUGGAGUUAUUUCUCUUUUCCUUGGGCUCAAAUGCAACGGCGCCAUCUCAGCUCACUGCAACCUCCACCUCCUGAGUUCAAGUGAUUCUCCUGCCUCAGCCUCCUGAAUAGCUGGGAUUACAGGCGCCUGCCACCGCACCUGGCUAAUGUUUGUAUUUUUGGUAGAGACAGGGUUUCUUCAUGUUGGCCAGGUUGGUCUCUAACUCUUGACCUCAAGUGAUCCACCUGCCUUGGCCUCUCAAAGUGCUAGGAUUACAGACACGAGCCACGGCCUGACCUGAACUGUGGGGAAAAGAAAGAGAGAUCAGAUUGUUACUGUGUCUGUGUAGGAAGAAGUAGACAUAAGAGACUCCAUUUUGUUCUGUACUAAGAAAAAUUGUUUUGCCUUGAGACGCUGUUAAUCUGUAACCCUACCCCCAACCCUGUGCUCCCUAAGACAUGGGCUGUGUCAACUCAGGGUUAAAUGGAUUAAGGGCUGUUCAGGGUGUGCUUUGUUAAACAAAUGCUUGAAGGCAGCAUGCUUGUUAAGAGUCAUCACCACUCCCUAAUCUCAAGUACCCAGAGGCACACUACACUGCGGAAGACUGCAGGGUCCUCUGCCUAGGAAAGCCAGGUAUUGUCCAAGGUUUCUCCCCAUGUGAUAGUCUGAAAUACAGCCUCGUGGGAAGGGAAAGACCUGACUGUCCCCCAGCCCGACACCCGUAAAGGGUCUGUGCUGAGGAGGAUUAGUAAAAGAGGAAGGAAGGCCUCUUUGCAGUUGAGAUAAGAGGAAGGCAUCUGUCUCCGGCUCGUCCCUGGGCAAUGGAAUGUCUCGGUGUAAAGCCCGAUUGUAUAUUCCAUCUACUGAGAUAGGAGAAAACCGCCUUAGGACUGGAGGUGGGACAUGCUGGCAGCAAUACUGCUCUUUAAGGCAUUGAGAUGUUUCUGUAUAUGCACAUCAAAAGCACAGCACUUUUUUCUUUACCUUGUUUAUGAUGCAGAGACAUUUGUUCACGUGUUUACCUGCUGAUCUUCUCUCCACUAUUAUCCUAUUGUCCUGCCACAUCCCCCUCUCCGGAAAUGCCCGAUAAUGAUCAAUAAAUACUAAGGGAACUCAGAGGCCAGUGCCGGCAUGGGUCCUCCGUAUGCUGAACGCCGGUCCCCUGGGCCCAUUUUUCUUCCUCUGUACUUUGUCUCUGUGUCUCUUUCUUUUCCAAGUCUCUCCUUCCACCUAAUGAGAAACGCCCACAGGUGUGGAGGGGCAACCCAUCCCUUCACUGAACCAUUUUUAUUCUUCCAGAAAUGUGAUUGAUAACAGUAAAGCCACACUCCUCAAGUGCCUGAAAUACCCCUCAUUGUCUUCUUCAGGUGGCAAGGGCUCUGGAACAGCCACAUAAAGGUGAGGGCAAUAUUUUUACUGUAGUUCUUUCAUUGAUUGGUUGAUUGAUUUUUUUCUCUUAGAGGGUUAGCAUACAUUUAUCUGAAAUUGAAAUUCAAGAGGAGAGACAGGCACCUGUACUAGUUUUCUCUUGCUGCCUAUUAUCACAUUACCACAAACCAGUGGUUUGAAACCACAGAAGUCUGGAAUGAAGUGGCCGGGUUCUCUGAUCAGAGUCAUGUGAGGCUAAAAUCCGGGAAUGGGCUGGCUGUGUUUUUUUCCUAGAGCUCAAGCUAUUUUUCCAGGUUCACUACAGAUAAUGAAAGAGUUCCUAUUCUUGUUUGUGGGGGACUGAGGGCCCUUUUUCUGUGCUGGCUGUCAGCGGGGAGACAGUCUACUCUGACUCCAGAGGCCACAUGCUUUCCUCCUUACCUGUCUGUUUCAUCUUUCAACCAAUAACAACUCAUGGAGUCCUUCUCAAGCUCCCACCUUCUCUGACUUCAUCUUCUCCAACCAGCCACACAAAGCUCUGUCAUGUAUGGAGUGAUGUGAUUAGAUCCAGUUCAUGCGGUAACCUCACCAUCUUAAAGUCAUAUAACUGGCAUAUAACAACAUAGUCACAGGAAUGGUGUCUCAUCACCUUAAGAGGCUUUAGAGACAAGGGUGUGGCAUGUUUGGGGACCAUUUCAGAAAUUCCAUCUACCACAGUAGGACACUCACAUUCCCCCAUCUGCAAAGUGCAUUUACCCUCUCCCCUGAGGUUUCCAGAUUUCAUGUCAUUAAAGCAUUAGUUCAACAUGAAAAAUGUCAUGUAGACCACAUCAGAUCAAAAGUUUAAAAUCCCAUCUAAAACAUCCACACCAGGUGUGAAUGAGGCUUCCGAGAGUGUCCAUUAAGUGCAGAUCCUUGACAUAAUUCCCUUACCUCUGUCGACCUGUGAAACUGAACAAACAGCUUAUCUGCCCCUAAUGUGAAAUGAUGGGACAGACAUAGAAUAACCACUACAGUGAUUCUAGUUCAAAAUGAGGGAACAUGGAGGGGAUAAAGAAGUCAAUAACCCAAAAUAGUUUGGAAAUGGAGCUGGGCAAAAUCCAGCAGGAGUUUCUUAGUUAGGAUCCACAGCCUGGGACUGACCCUCUGUCCUGUGGGUCUUUGCCUCUGGGCUCUCUGCUCUGCAUUUCUUGAAACCAUUAUUAUUUAUCAUUUUUCUCACACUCUUUUGCGUAUGGCUCCUAUUGCACUCAAAAUGUUUUUGAGAUUCAUCCAUCUUGUUUUGUGUGUCAAAAGUUUGUUCCUUUAGCCGUUCCAUGGAAUGAAUGUAUCACAGUUUAUUGAUCCAUUCUUGUAUUGAUAGAUAUUUGAAUGUUUCCA
RNAcentral lists this long non-coding RNA (2998 nucleotides) under Homo sapiens (human). Lineage: Eukaryota; Metazoa; Chordata; Mammalia; Primates; Hominidae. The record is from RNAcentral.